CUCUUUUCUAAAGGGGCCAAGACUGCUAAUUUAUAGACAAUCUGAAAGUGUUCAGAAGUUCCAUACAUCCUCAUGCUCUAUGCCUAAAUGUACAUUGAUAAUUCAAUCAGUUUCCGCUAUCAAAUUGAGUUAUUACAAGAUAAACACCAACAGAAGUUCCGCACAUGUCACCAACAGCAACACCUUCUCAGCCUUGAAAAACAACUAUGAAGAGUGUUCUUACGAUUAAACCAUAUAUAUGUAUGCAAGCACUGGCUCAAUAACUUCACUGAUAUGCAAGGCAGCUCGUCAACAUGUAAAACCUGCAGUGCAUGACAAGCCUCUAAAAUCCAAACGUUAUGAAACCAAUUUAUAUAUUUACUAAGCUUUUCAGAAUACUCAUUUUACUAAAAAUGUGAAGAAAAUGAAAAAUGGAUAAAAUUUUGACUGACAUUCACCACGUCCAGUUUUCAGCAAUAACAGUGAAACAAAAGAUGUUGGUCUGCAUCUGCAGCUAAAGUGCUGCACACACAUACAACAAAACAAUUAGUAUGUUGCAUCUUCCGGCAUCAUUAGUAAGCAGAGCAAAAGGAAUAGACUAAGCAAGUCUUCUUUACCAUCCAAGGUUAUCCAUUUUCAUAAUGAGGUUACCGACUUUGUACAUUCGACUGAAUUGUUCUGCAAAACAUGAAGGCCGUAUAUUUCAUCAGCAUGGAUAAUUGCUAUGAAAGAAAGAUAAUGUACACUCAGUUCCAUUGUUCCGCUAGUAGUAAUGGUAUCUUAAGUGAUAGGAGUUUGAUUAUGUUUUCCUUAGAAUGCAUGUCGUUAUGGUCUUAGAUUUGCUGCACUCCUUCCAUGCAAGUUGUAGAAAUAUAAAAUGGCAUGGGAUUCUAGGAAAACAAAGUGGGUGUGGAACACACUGACUAUAAACUCAUACACAUAUGCUCAGUAAAAUUAUAGAAAACAAAUAAAUGUUGUAUUAUCUAUAUAUGCUUAGUUAGACAUAUAAGAGAUUAAGUUGUUCACUUUGUUUUGUUGUAUCAGUUGUCUCCUUAUGCUGGGCUCAUGGACCUGUGCAAUGAAGACAGAGUAUAAGUACAACCUUUCAUUACUUAUACAUGGUAAUAAGGAGCAGUCAAUAGCAAUGAUUCACUCAGAAAGCGUUCUGACGCUGAAUAUAUGUAUGAUAACUGAAUAAUUGGUUUCAAGCCUCUUGAUAUGGGAGACGCUAUCAACAGGCACCUGUGGGUUACAAUUAUAUAAGGAUAUUAGAUGUGAUUUAAAACAAAAAUAUAUUGAAUAGUAAAGUACAUAAGCUGGAAAUAUAUGUACAUGAUUAGCCGAAGUGAUUUGAAAUAUGUAACAACCAAUAGUCUGCAACAACACUAACAAGCUGGAAUCAGAAAAGAAUUUAAAUAUAGCGGAAACAAAUAAAUGUAGUGUGGUUUUAAUUAUAGUUUUGAUACUGCCAAAGAUUAUUAUAACUAUCUUAUCCCGGUAAUUUUAAAGAACCAUGCUGCUAGUUCUUUAUGAAGGGCCUCCAAUCAGAAGAACUGCUACCAGACCCUUGUAAAGACCUAUGCUCAAGACCAUCACAAACAUCUAAAACUUUUUACUUAGAUUACAGGGACUACCAUAAAAAAUGCUUGAGAACCUCGAGAUUCAACCUGACAUCAUCCAAGCUUCUGAUUUGGUUGUACAAAAGUCAAAUGAAAUGAGCUAAAGAAGAAACUGAGCAAAGAUUUAAAUUGUAACAACUCCUUAUGGUUCUCCCCUUUCUGAACUAAACUAACCAGCUAUGCACUGUAAUUACUCCAAAAUAUGCAUGCCAUUCUUUAUACAUGAUACUAAAAAAGCCUGUAGAAAUAGAACAGUCUUGAUACUCUAGAUUUCUAAACAAUCAUAAAGGGAAGAUUUUUAAACACACAUACUAUAUUUAUUCUAAGCUCACACUGAAAUGGUGGUGGUUCUUGAAAUUGCUUGUAAUCUGGGGGUUGAAGACAGCAACAUAGAUUCAUACCAUUUCAGAAUUAUAUGUGUGCUUAGAAGCUGCGCUUCUAAAUAAUACAAUUGACAAGAACAUCGAAUUGGGUGCACUUACAGUUGGUUAAUUGAUUGUAUUUGGACAGCAGCAGGAAAAAGCUUGCACUCUUCUGAAAUUUUUUAUGCCUGUUUCUCUGCAAUGGAAUCUACAAGUUGUACACCCUUUUCAAACUGCUCAUCAACACUACCAGGGAGCAAUUUGUCAGGUAAUCUAUGUUUCGAAUGCCCCAAUAUACUGAGGUUAAAACAUCAUCUAAUACUUUCUGUACAAUAAAGUACAUUCUGCAUCAAAUAAUCCUUUCUGCUUACAGUGCUGGAAACUGUUCAAGUGAAAAUAGCUACCGAUUAUCAGUGUUAUACCAACCUUCACUCUGGGUGGUCGACAUAGCAGCUAGCUCCCACCAAGUUAAUAAUUAGACGAAGAAGGUCCACCCGCCUACCUCUGCCAUGAAACAUCAUAAAAGAGGAUGCAUGCCAAAUCUGAGUUUGCAAUUCUCAUCACACACCCAGAUAUCUGAUGUAUGUCUAACAAAAUCUAACACUCAACAAAUGUAAGCCUCAAAGAACAAAGAGAUGCAUUCCUCUCACCUGAAUCGUGAUGCGUGAUACCGAGGAAAAAUGCGAUCUCCGCCAAGUCUGCACUCUGCAGAACCCCAACCAUCGGCACCAGGUAAAAGCAAGCGUUCCUAUUUCAGUGCGGCGAAAAGGGUGGACCAGGAACCUUAUGUUGGAUCCUAAUGUUAUCCUCGUCGCGGUCGAGGCUGUCCCCCUGCCAGUCUUUGCGUGAACGGCGAUCUGUUGCAAAGCAGUCUCUGGACCACGGCAGCAACAUGUCAGCAAACAAAACCCUUAAUUCAGUAACUCUAUGAGCCCCAAAAUCUGUCUCAGAACGCUCAACGGAGGACGGGCGGGACGUAUAUGCCAGGGUGGGCGAAGGGCGUACGUACCGAAAGAAGACACUCUAGGAUGCGGUAGCGCUCGACGCCGGCGAAGAGGAGGGACUGCGUGGGCGCCCUGGCGCGCGGAUAGGCGAGCACCGCCAGCACGUGCGGAUCUCAAACCGGCAGGGAGCAGUGGGCUCCGCGCCGCCGCGACGCGGGCUCGCGCGCGACCUCGUUCGCCGGAGGCCGCCAUGCGUGCACUCACGUCGUGCUUAGGAAGGAGCAGGUGCGACCGGAGAGGCGAGGGGAGCUGGUACCGCCGCACCGGGGGGUCGCACGCGGCCCCGUUUGCCGGCGGCCACCCCGCGCGCGCCCACUUCGUGCUCUGGGAGAAGACCGGUGCAGCUGGAGAGGCAAGGGAUGCGGGCGCCGCCGCACCGGGGGAUCGCGCGCGGCCUCCUUCGCCGGUGGCCGCCUCACGCACGUUCACUUUGCUUGGAGGAGAUUUCUGCUGCCAAAGAGGUUAGCGCUAAAU
This 3438-nucleotide ribosomal RNA is filed under the name Triticum aestivum (bread wheat). Its description in RNAcentral is "partial small subunit ribosomal RNA". Lineage: Eukaryota; Viridiplantae; Streptophyta; Magnoliopsida; Poales; Poaceae. The record is from RNAcentral.